This is a long non-coding RNA of Agrilus planipennis (emerald ash borer), 1585 nucleotides long. RefSeq lists it as uncharacterized. Lineage: Eukaryota; Metazoa; Arthropoda; Insecta; Coleoptera; Buprestidae. The transcript is spliced from 3 exons. The record is from RefSeq and is a predicted model, not a curated record.
AUGUGUAGUUGGUCUGUGAUUGGAACUGUUCGCGUUUCACCCAGCAUUAAGCAGUAUCCUUUUAUUCACUAGAUGCAGAAACAACAAGGAAUGAAGAUAAAGGAGUGGAGAGAUUGAAGUUCAUUUUGAUGCUACCGAAAAAACAAGUCGUCUCCUAUGGUGUUUUAACUGUUAACUUUUCAUCUUGGACGCUUUUGUAUUAACUAAUUAAGGUAAGCAUACAUGCAAUUAAUUAAGGUGAGCAUACAUGCUAUAUUGUGUAUGUGCUAUAUUUAUUUGAUAUUAACAGAGAAUAAGGUUCAGCAUUACUUUGACAAUGUAUUAUGCACGUUAUUUACUAGGAAGGUUAAAUUAAUUUCACAAAGAUUUCAUUGUAGAACAUUAGAAGACCUCCAGAUGCCAUUAAAUUAGGGAGCAUUGUGUCAAUUCUCAAUUGCUCCAGAAAGUAGCUAUACGUUUGGCCCUAAAACAAGCAUGAAAAUGCCAUUUUUUCAUUAGGAACAGAGACAGUGUGCUGUUACUGAAGAAAUGAUUUACGACAAUAAACUGAUAGGUCACAGUAUCAAUUAAAAAUAUUAAAUAAGGUCCCAGAAAAUUCCUUAGACAUUUGUAAUUUGCUCUAAUAGACAUUUUUUAAACAAUAUUUCAGAAAUAGCAGAUGCUAAACAGCAGGAUUAAUGUGGAACUGAUCUUUUCAUCAGUACGAACAUUUCUGAUUAACUUUAAAAGUGGUAAUUAAUUACUUUUUCUUGCCUCUUUUUAUAGAUUAUUCAACAAAUGAGAAGGAAUCGCAAUUGAUUUUGGUGCUACUAAAACAACCCAUUUUGAUGUCUUCACCUUGCAAUAUUGUGCAGUUAAUUUUGUUCCUGAGAAUAGGAGGCAAUUGGAAAUUAAUUUGGAAGCCACUGAAACAACAAAUUUGCGCUGUGGCAUCCCUCCUAUAUUUGGUUUACUCAUCAUACUGGUAGAUUUUAGAACGGUACUUUCUACAGUUAAUUAAGGUGAGAAUACAUGACAUAAUUUAUUAAUUUGUAAUGGCAUUUCUUUUAACAGUUAUCUAUUAUGUACGGUAUAAAUUGAUGUUAUGUCGUAUGUAUAGUAUUUCUUUUAGAUAUCUAUUGACCACAGAAUCUAUGGUAUUUCGUUGAAAGUUUAUCUACUGUUUACUGUUCAAGUCGUGCAUCUGUGGAAUGUUCAUAAUUUUUUGUUGUGUAUUGACAUCACCCCUCUAUGAUUAUUUCACAUUUAUCUGUCAAACGUAAUAUGUCAUGUAUAGUUGAGGCUUGUCGCCAUCUUAUAUUUCAGCUGCUUUACUUGGUUUUUGGUACUUGCUUUUAGAUCGUCCAACAAAUGAGAGAGCGUUUACGUUCGAUUUGGUCGUACUGGAACAACCAAUGCCUACAUGGGUGUGGUCUUUUGUAAAUCAUAUUCUUGAUUUGCUGUUUUCGCCUUCACUUUGCAACAUUAUGCAGUUAAUUUUCAACCGACGAGUAAGAGCAACUGGAGGUUUUUUUGAAUUCCACUGAAAUAACAAAUUUUCUGCGGUAAUAUUCCUCUUGGAUUUGGUUUACUUUUCACACCUGCA